RNAcentral lists this ribosomal RNA (464 nucleotides) under Vreelandella stevensii. RNAcentral describes it as "partial 16S ribosomal RNA". It matches the Rfam family "Bacterial small subunit ribosomal RNA", at positions 338 to 795 of the family's 1533-position model. Lineage: Bacteria; Pseudomonadati; Pseudomonadota; Gammaproteobacteria; Oceanospirillales; Halomonadaceae. The record is from RNAcentral.
CCUACGGGUGGCAGCAGUGGGGAAUAUUGGACAAUGGGCGAAAGCCUGAUCCAGCCAUGCCGCGUGUGUGAAGAAGGCCUUCGGGUUGUAAAGCACUUUCAGUGGGGAAGAAAGCCUUGGGGCUAAUACCCUCGAGGAAGGACAUCACCCACAGAAGAAGCACCGGCUAACUCCGUGCCAGCAGCCGCGGUAAUACGGAGGGUGCGAGCGUUAAUCGGAAUUACUGGGCGUAAAGCGCGCGUAGGCGGUCUGAUAAGCCGGUUGUGAAAGCCCCGGGCUCAACCUGGGAACGGCAUCCGGAACUGUCAGGCUAGAGUGCAGGGGAGGAAGGUAGAAUUCCCGGUGUAGCGGUGAAAUGCGUAGAGAUCGGGAGGAAUACCAGUGGCGAAGGCGGCCUUCUGGACUGACACUGACGCUGAGGUGCGAAAGCGUGGGUAGCAAACAGGAUUAGAUACCCAGUAGUC